AUGAAACACUGUCUCUCAUCUGAUCACAAAUGUUAAGCAAUAUCGAGCCUGAUCAGUACGUUGAUGGGUGACUGCUUUGGAAUACCAGUGCUGUAAG
Molecule: non-coding RNA, 97 nt
Organism: Acanthosepion pharaonis
Lineage: Eukaryota; Metazoa; Mollusca; Cephalopoda; Sepiida; Sepiidae
Source: the annotation of a GenBank genome assembly